Molecule: ribosomal RNA, 470 nt
Filed under: uncultured bacterium
Lineage: Bacteria
Description: bacterial SSU rRNA
Rfam family: Bacterial small subunit ribosomal RNA
Source: RNAcentral
GAUGAACGCUGGCGGCGUGCCUAACACAUGCAAGUCGAGCGAACUUCUUUGAAGUGAGCGGCGGACGGGUGAGUAACGCGUGGGUAACCUGCCCUAUACAUAUGGAUAACAUACCGAAAGGUAUGCUAAUACAAAAUGACAUAUAUUUGUCGCAUGGCAGAUAUAUCAAAGAUUUAUCGGUAUAGGAUGGACCCGCGUCUGAUUAGCUAGUUGGUAAGGUAACGGCUUACCAAGGCGACGAUCAGUAGCCGACCUGAGAGGGUGAUCGGCCACAUUGGAACUGAGACACGGUCCAAACUCCUACGGGAGGCAGCAGUGGGGAAUAUUGCACAAUGGGCGAAAGCCUGAUGCAGCAACGCCGCGUGAAUGAUGAAGGCCUUCGGGUCGUAAAAUUCUGUUCUAAGGGAAGAUAAUGACGGUACCUUAGAAGCAAGCCCCGGCUAACUACGUGCCAGCCGCCGCCGUAACAC